GUAGUCCACGCCCUAAACGAUGUCAACUGGUUGUCGGGGAAGUAAUUCCUUGGUAACGAAGCUAACGCGUGAAGUUGACCGCCUGGGGAGUACGGCCGCAAGGCUAAAACUCAAAGGAAUUGACGGGGACCCGCACAAGCGGUGGAUUAUGUGGAUUAAUUCGAUGCAACGCGAAAAACCUUACCUACCCUUGACAUGUGCGGAAGCCUCCAGAGAUGGAGGUGUGCCCGAAAGGGAACCGCAACACAGGUGCUGCAUGGCUGUCGUCAGCUCGUGUCGUGAGAUGUUGGGUUAAGUCCCGCAACGAGCGCAACCCUUGCCAUUAGUUGCUACAUUCAGUUGGGCACUCUAGUGGGACUGCCGGUGACAAACCGGA
This 376-nucleotide ribosomal RNA is filed under the name uncultured bacterium. RNAcentral's name for it is "bacterial SSU rRNA". It matches the Rfam family "Bacterial small subunit ribosomal RNA", at positions 790 to 1167 of the family's 1533-position model. The record is from RNAcentral.